AGAGGCUGGGAACACCAAGGGCAUGGCAGCAGCAUCUGGUGGGGUUCUGUGCUACAUUACCCCAUGGUGGAAGGGCAGAGGGCAGAGGGCAGAAGAGGAAAGGCAGAAGAGAAAGACAGCAUGGGAGACAGCAAGAAAAUGGAGGCCAAAACUUAUCCUUUUAUCAGGAAUCCACUCCCACAAGAUUGCACAGAGUUCUUGAUAUUGAAGAGUGAACCAUGUUCAAGGAAGAAGAGAUCACCCCAUAAAACCCUUCCAGCUUGUGUUACAAUCAGAUGCCUCUAAGAUGGACAAAAAAGGCACACAGAGAUAUUCCCUACUCAGGCUCUGGUCAAAUCUCUCUCCACUUAAUGGAGCAUGGCUUUCAACUGCACCUGGAGAUGUAUCAGAGCUGACGCAUCACAUGAAGAAAAGAAAUCUAACAAGCUUCCUGGGCAUUCACCGCGCCAAAGUCACCAUCAUGACUGUCACCUGCUGGAGCAGGGCAGAGCCAUCCACGAGAGGCAGAAAAUUGUGUGCAGGCACCGAGCUCCAGUACCACGAUGGCACAUGGGGAAAGCCUCAGUGAGGGAGGGGAGCAGAACCCUUGGUCCCCUCGGAUCCCCUCGGAGGGACCGGAUACACAGGAAGCAAACGGGGUGCAUGAGGAAGGCACACAGGGAGGAUGCUGGCUAGAGUACCUAGUCGAUCUGGAUUCCACACAUUCCAAGACAGGUUUCGUCCACUCUUACAGGAACAAAGAUGCAUUUUGACAACAUGCUAGCAUUAAUAAGCUAAUAAGCACCCAGUGGUGUCCCUUGAUUGUUUAACAAGAAGCUCACUGAGUAGACUCCAAGCUCAGGCCCUGAGCUUUGACAAAGGUGGGAAUUUGAAGGUGGACUGAGAGUCAACUUCCUCUAUUGUCAUCUACGGCUCUGAAUAAAAUAUUUACUGCAGA
Molecule: long non-coding RNA, 937 nt
Organism: Homo sapiens (human)
Lineage: Eukaryota; Metazoa; Chordata; Mammalia; Primates; Hominidae
Product: long intergenic non-protein coding RNA 2250
Source: Ensembl